This 1458-nucleotide long non-coding RNA is filed under the name Anser brachyrhynchus (Pink-footed goose). Its description in RNAcentral is "lncRNA (ENSABRG00000001933.1)". Lineage: Eukaryota; Metazoa; Chordata; Aves; Anseriformes; Anatidae. The record is from RNAcentral.
UUUUUUUUGGGUUAGGGUUGGGGUUAGGGUUCGGGUUUUGCUUAGGGUUAGGAUUAGGGACAUUAGGGUUAGGGUUAUGGUUAGGGCUAGGGAUUGGGUUAGGGUUAGGGCAGACAUUAGAGUUAGGGUGACGAGUUAGGUUUAGGGCUAAGGUUAAGGUUAGAGUUAGGGUCAUUAGGGUUAGGGCUAGGGUUAAGGUUAGGGUUAGGGUUAGGGUUAGGGUUAGGGUCAUUAGGGUUAGGGCUAGGUUUGGUGUUAGGGUUACGUUAGGGUUUGGAUUACUGUUAGGAAUAGUGUUUGGGUUACUCUUAGGGUUAGGGCUAAUUUAGGUUUUGUUUAGGGUUUUGGUUAAGGUUAGGGUUGGUUUUACGGUUAGGGUUAGGGUUAGGAUUUCGUUUACAGUUAGCGUUUGGGUUAUUGUUAGGGUUAGGGCUUGGGUUACUCUGAGUGUUAUGAUUUUGGUUAGGGUUAGUGUAGGGUUAUCGUUAGGGUUAGUGUUAGUGUUAAGGUUACUGUUUGGGUUAGGGUUUGGGUUAGGGUUAGGGUUAUAUUUAGGGUUAUCGUUAGUGUUAGGUUUAUGGUUAGGAUUAGGGUUAGGUUUAGGGUUUGGUUUAGGUUUAGGAUUAUGGUUAGGGUUAAGGUUAAGGUUACGGUUAUGGUUAGGGUUAGGUUUAGGGUUAGGGUUAUGCUUAAGUUUAGGUUUAUGGUUAAUGUUAGUUUUAUGGUUAGUGUUAGGGUUAGAGAUAGUGUUAGGGUUAGAAUUAUGGUUAGGGCAGUCAUUUGGGUUAUGUAUACGGGUUAGCGUUAGGUUUAAGGGUUGGGGUUAGGGCAGUCAGUUGGGUUAUGGUUAACGGUUCGCAUUAGGGUUAAGGUUUAAGGUUAGUGUUAGGUUCAUUAGGGUUAGGGUUAGUGUUAUGCUUAAGUUUAGGUUUAGGGUUAAUGUUUAGGUUUAUGGUUAGGGUUUGGUUUAGGGUUAGGGUUACCUUUAGGGUUAGGUUUAGGGAUAGGUUUAGGGUUAGGGUAAGGGUUAGCACAGGAACCAGAGCCAUCAAAAUUGGUCUGGUUGUCUCUCCUCUGUUCUGAGUAACAUCCUGUAUUCACGGUUUAGAGCAAAACAAAACUGGCAGUGAGUACAGGGUUCUCACUUCUUGCUCCUUGAUGACAAGGAAACCCCAACUGCAGAAAUAAGGUUGCUGUGCUCAUAUGCUUUUCCUGUGAUCUGCAAGGAAUGUUUUCCCUUUGAGAUAAGAAAGCUAUUUUGGUGUCCAGAGUUGACAUGAGUGGUGGGAAUUUUUUAUUUGGUCAGCUGUGAUGUGGUCUGCCUUAUAGCUUUUUAUCACAAGGGUUUGUUCUCUUACUCUGUUCAAUUCACCACUGCUGCUACACCAGUAGGGAGCAGAAAGCCUUCAUUUUCCGUUCAUGUGGUAGCAAAAGAGAAAAGCAGUGAUGUUGGAAGAG